This 268-nucleotide unclassified non-coding RNA is filed under the name Hevea brasiliensis (rubber tree). The record is from RNAcentral. Lineage: Eukaryota; Viridiplantae; Streptophyta; Magnoliopsida; Malpighiales; Euphorbiaceae.
GAAUGCCAUGAUCCUAAAUCCAUUUCUGUGGUUGAAAAGGUCUGCCUAAACAAAAAUGAGUGUGCGGUAGAAGUAACAGAAGAGAACUUCAGCAAGGGAUUGUGCCCCGGCACAACCAAAAAACUUGCAGUGGAAGCAGUUUGCAGCUGAAAAUUUUUCAAUUCCAGUAGCGAGAAAGUUUCAACUGUGCAGCUUUUCAUAUCUUCUCGAGUAAAAUACAAGGGGAAACGACAGAAAGCGAGAGAGAGAGAGAAUCAUUUGUCCCGGA